Molecule: ribosomal RNA, 372 nt
Filed under: uncultured bacterium
Lineage: Bacteria
Description: bacterial SSU rRNA
Rfam family: Bacterial small subunit ribosomal RNA
Source: RNAcentral
AUUGCGUGGGGGCACCCUGACCGCCUGCCGCGUGAGGGGAUGAAGGCCUUCGGGUUGUAAAGCUCUUUUGGCGGGGACGAUGAUGACGGUACCCGCAGAAUAAGCCCCGGCUAACUUCGUGCCAGCAGCCGCGGUAAGACGAAGGGGGCUAGCGUUGUUCGGAAUUACUGGGCGUAAAGCGCGUGUAGGCGGUUUUCCAAGUUGGGUGUGAAAGCCUUGGGCUUAACCCAAGAAAUGCACUCAGUACUGGAAGACUAGAGGACCGGGGAGGAUAGUGGAAUUCCCAGUGUAGUGGUGAAAUACGUAGAGAUUGGGAAGAACACCAGUGGCGAAGGCGGCUAUCUGGACGGUUUCUGACGCUAAGACGCGAAA